Molecule: ribosomal RNA, 519 nt
Filed under: uncultured bacterium
Lineage: Bacteria
Description: bacterial SSU rRNA
Rfam family: Archaeal small subunit ribosomal RNA
Source: RNAcentral
AACCUCCGCAAUGUGAGAAAUCGCGACGGGGGGAUCCCAAGUGCCAUUCUUAACGGGAUGGCUUUUCAUUAGUGUAAAGAGCUUUUGGAAUAAGAGCUGGGCAAGACCGGUGCCAGCCGCCGCGGUAACACCGGCAGCUCUAGUGGUAGCAAUUUUUAUUGGGCCUAAAGCGUCCGUAGCCGGUUUAAUAAGUCUCUGGUGAAAUCCUGUAGCUUAACUGUGGGAAUUGCUGGAGAUACUAUUAGACUUGAGACCGGGAGAGGUUAGAGGUACUCCCAGGGUAGAGGUGAAAUUCUGUAAUCCUGGGAGGACCGCCUGUUGCGAAGGCGUCUAACUGGAACGGUUCUGACGGUGAGGGACGAAAGUUAGGGGCGCGAACCGGAUUAGAUACCCGGGUAGUCCUAACUGUAACGAUGCGGACUUGGUGUUGGGGUGGCUUUGAGCUGCUCCAGUGCCGAAGGGAAGCUGUAAGUCCGCCGCCUGGGAAGUACGGUCGCAAGACUGAAACUUAAAGGAAUU